GCUCUUGUAGAUCAGUUGGUUAGAGCACCUGUUUAGUAAGCGGGAUGUCUUGAUUUCAAUUAUAAACAAGAGCA
Molecule: transfer RNA, 74 nt
Filed under: Ipomoea nil (Japanese morning glory)
Lineage: Eukaryota; Viridiplantae; Streptophyta; Magnoliopsida; Solanales; Convolvulaceae
Rfam family: tRNA
About the family: Transfer RNA (tRNA) molecules are approximately 80 nucleotides in length.
Source: Rfam by way of RNAcentral